CCUACGGGAGGCAGCAGUGAGGAAUAUUGGUCAAUGGACGAGAGUCUGAACCAGCCAAGUAGCGUGAAGGAUGACUGCCCUAUGGGUUGUAAACUUCUUUUAUAUGGGAAUAAAAUGUUCCACGUGUGGGAUUUUGUAUGUACCAUAUGAAUAAGGAUCGGCUAACUCCGUGCCAGCAGCCGCGGUAAUACGGAGGAUCCGAGCGUUAUCCGGAUUUAUUGGGUUUAAAGGGAGCGUAGGUGGAUUGUUAAGUCAGUUGUGAAAGUUUGCGGCUCAACCGUAAAAUUGCAGUUGAAACUGGCAGUCUUGAGUACAGUAGAGGUGGGCGGAAUUCGUGGUGUAGCGGUGAAAUGCUUAGAUAUCACGAAGAACUCCGAUUGCGAAGGCAGUUCACUGGACUGCAACUGACAGUGAGGCUCGAAAGUGUGGGUAUCAAACAGGAUUAGAUACCCGAGUAGUC
RNAcentral lists this ribosomal RNA (460 nucleotides) under uncultured bacterium. RNAcentral's name for it is "partial 16S ribosomal RNA". It matches the Rfam family "Bacterial small subunit ribosomal RNA", at positions 338 to 795 of the family's 1533-position model. The record is from RNAcentral.